Molecule: long non-coding RNA, 6458 nt
Organism: Callithrix jacchus (white-tufted-ear marmoset)
Lineage: Eukaryota; Metazoa; Chordata; Mammalia; Primates; Cebidae
Source: RefSeq, a predicted model, not a curated record
AGCCGCCCUCCCCAGAGGCAUCGAUGUCAUUGACUCACUGGGUGCGGGGCGACCAGGCAAUAGGAACAGGAACCUUAUAGAAUCUUCUUUUCACGAUGUUGCACCUUGAUGUGAGCUAUUUUUUCAGCAUGUUGGACACUUGGAAGGUUGUACGACCCCCUAAUCCAGAGAGGGUCCUGAUGCACACCCAAUGGAAGGAACGCGUUCUCAGAGAGGCUGAGAAGAAUCUGGACAGACAACCCUGCCGGGCUUCCCCACUCAGUCUGUCGGCACUAGGUCACCCUCUUUCCUCGAUCGUAUUUCUACAGAGCUGUCCAUCCUCGCCUUCUGCACGUUAAAUUUUCUGCAAAACUCCAGAGAUCGGAUGGCUUUGGCCCCCACAUUUAAACUUAAUCCUCUAAUGCUUCUAUUGAAAUUUUCAACUUCUCCUACUAUAUUUUUAAUUUCUAAGAGCUCUUCUUUAUUAUUUUAUAUAGCAUUUCUUUCUUAUUUCUUUUUUUUUUUUUUUUUUUCUUUUUUGAUAUGGAGUCUCGCUCUGUCGCCCAAGCUGGAGUGCAAUGGUGCAAUCUUGGCUCACUGCAACCUCCGUCUUCCAGGUUCAGGCAAUUCUCCUGCCUCAGUCUCCCAAGUAGCUGGGAUUACAGGCACCUGCCAUCACGCCUGGCUAAUUUUUUGUGUCUUUAGUAGAGAUGGGGUUUCACCAUGUUGGUCAGGCUGGUCUCGAACUCCUGACCUCAUGAUCUGCCAGCCUCAGCCUCCCAAAGUGUGGGGAUUACAGGUGUAAGCCACUUUGCCUGGCCCCAUUUCUUAUUUCAUGCAGUUAUCAUCGCUUAUCUCUCUAAGGGUAUUAAUAAUUGUUCUUUGGAAAUUUUCUUCUUCCUACAUUGCACUUAACACUGCUCAGUUGCUUAUGGUCUUGUUUGUUUUGGUGACUUUCGUGUUGGUGACUUUCCCUCAUUGUUAGCUCCUGUGUGAGAGUUGGGGACUGAAUGUUAAUUGGAAGCUCCUAGUGGGUAAGUGGGACCUGUCUGACCAGGAGAUCCCUGUAGGGUGAAUGGCUCUGUAGUUGGGGAACCUCUGAUGUCUGUAUCUUUAAGUCUUUCCUCUUGAGCUAACCAGAUUCCCCAGAAAAAAACUCUUCCAGUCUUUGGCUUAGAAGGUAAAGGCCAGACUGCCAGCAUUCUCAGGAAAGGGAUAUGGAGGCCUCACGCUCUUAUAUGCAUAAGUUCAUUUUGAAGGCACCAAAAACCCAAAAGCAGAUACAGAAAGAGAUAUGAUCUGUAUGUUCCUUAUCUGACCAAAACACGGCUUUAUGUGAGUCACCGGCCACAACUCUGCCCUCCUCCCACCCUCCAGGGAGGUCAACUGACCUUGGACACUAUGACAUUCCAAGAAAGUGAUGUAAAGAAACUUCAUCAGAACCUCCCAUCUUUGAAGCCCUAAGCCCUUAUUUUGUUAACCUUGUAUAAACUUUUCACUCUGGCUGUCCAGCAAGGCACUCACUACUAACUGCUCCUGCACAUCUGUCUUUUCUCCUGUUAGUCUGUCUGAUGUCCAUUCAUUUGCAGGGCCCCAACUACACAGACCGAAGCUGGUAGAGCGGAAGUUUUUUUUUUCCAACAGUUUCAUCUCUCUCCCUUUUUUAAACAUGGUAUCUCCAUCCUCAGCCUGGUAUCCCCCAAUCCAGAGAUUUUGUUUUACCAUUUCCAAGAACAAAUCUCAGUUUUCUGCCAGCAUGGAGAAAGAGCAAUUAUCCACUGCUAUAGUUUACUUUUUUUCUUCUUUUUUGAGACAGAGUCUUGCUCUACCCAGGCUGGAGUGCAGUAGUGUGAUCACAGUUCACUGUAACCGCCAUCUCCUGGGCUCAAGGGAUCCUCCCAUCUCAGCCUUCCAGGUAGCUAGGACUACAAGUGUACAUCACCAUGCCCAGAUAAUUUUUAAAUUUUUUGUAGAGAAGGGUCACACUGCCAGGUGCAGUGGCUCAUGCCUGUAAUGCCAGCACUUUGGGAGGCCCAGACAGGUGGAGCAUGAGGUCAGAAGUUCAAGACCGGCCUUGCCAAGAUGGCAAAAUGCUUUCUCUACUAAAAAUACAAAAAUUAGCCAGGUGUGGUGGUGGAUGCCUGUAACCCCAGCUACUCAGGAGGCUGAGGCAGGAGAAUUGCUUGAACUCGGGAGGUGGAGGUUGCAGUGAGCUGAGGUCAUGCCACUGCACUCCAGCCUGGGCAACAGAGUGAGACUCCAUCAAAAAAAAAAAAAAAAAAAAAUAGAAAAGGGUUACACUAUGUUGCCCGGGUUAGUCUCAAACUCUUGGCCUCAAGUAAUUUUCCUGUCUCUUAUAAAACCUGACACAUAAAACCAUCAGAUCUCAUGAGAAUUCACUCACUGUCAUGAGAAUCACCAGCAUGGGGGAACCACCUCUAUGCUGAGAUUUAGCCUCCCAAAGUGCUGAGAUUACAGGCAUGAGCCACUGCACCCAGCCACUGCUACAGUGUAAAUGUGUUCCCCAAGUUUCAUGUGUUGGAAACAGUCUUCACAUUUAUAUGCUGAUUGGAGGCAGGGCCUUUGGGAGAUUAUUAGGGUUAAGCAAGGUCAUCAGGGUGGGAAUCCUUCUUCUUAUAAAGCCACCAGUCCCCUCAGAGAAGAGAAACCUGAGCUGACAUGCAUGCUCCUGCCCUCUUGCCAUGUAAUGCCCUCCACUAUAUUAUGACAUAGCAAGAAGGCCCUCACAGAAACUGAGCAGAUGACAGCACCAUGUUUUUGGACUUUCCGGUCUCCAGGGUUGUAAGAAAUACAUUUCUUUUCUUUAUAAAUUACCCAGUCUCUGGGUUUGUUUGUUUGUUUUUGAGACAGAGUCUCGGGCUGGAGUGCAGUGGUAUAAUCUUGGCUCACUGCCACCUCUGCUUCCUGUGUUCAAGUGAUUCUUCUGCCUCAGCCUCCCAAAUAGCUGAGAUUAUAGGCACCUGCCACCACACUUGGCUAAUUUUUGUAAUUUUAGUAGAGACGGAGUUUCGCCAUGUUGGCCAGGCUGGUCUCAAACUCCUGACUUCAAGUGAUCCACCUGCCUCAGACUCCCAAAAUGCUAGGAUUACAGGCGUGCAUCACCACACCUGGCCUGGUAUUCUUUUAUAGCAAAAGAAAACAAACUAAGACAUACACCUACACAGAUUUGGGGAAGUGACCUAAUAAUCAAACGUCUUGAUUUUUAGCCAGGUCUCCUUAUUUUAUUUAAUUUAUUUUCAUUUAUUUGAGAUGGAAUCUUGCUCUGUCAUCCAGGCUGGAGUGCAGUGGUGUAAUGUCCAUCCACUAUAACCUCUGCCUCCUGGGUUCAAGCAAUUCUCCUGCCUCAGCCUCCCCAGUAACUGAGAUUACAGGCGCCCAACACCAUGCCUGACUAGUGUUUGUAUUUUUAGUAGAGACAGGGUUUCACCAUGUUGGCCAGGCUGGUCUCAAACUCCUGACCUCAAGUGAUCCACCCGCCUUGGCAUCCUAAAGUGCUAGGAUUACAGGCGUGAGCCACCACACCCAGCCCAAGGUCUCAUUAUUUUAGCUCCCUUCCUCACUCUACUUCCAGCAACAUUAGUGUCACCAGUGUCUGAGACUGUGGUGGGGGUUGGGGAGAAGGGGUGGGUAUUGGCUUUUUAGCCUUCCCCUUUUACAGUUUAGGCUUCAGCUUUUCCCAGCCUGCUCAGUUUACUCACUCAUUGCUUUACAGUUUCCAAACUUGUGCUGUUGUUGUCUUCUCUCCCAUUAUUUCUGGCACAGGGCAAACCCCAAAUUGGGGCUCAGCCCAGGAGGCCACGUGGGUUCUUGGCUUUGUGCAGGAAGAAAUUCAAGCACAGGAAGGAAUUCAAGAGCAAGCAGAAUAAAGUGAAAGGAAGUUUAUUAAGAAAGUAAAGGAAAAGGCGGAGUACAGUGGCUCAUACUUGUAAUCCCAGCACUUUUGGGAGGCUAAGGUGGGUGGAUACCUGAGGUCAGGAAUUCCAGACCAGCCUGGCUAAGAUAGAGAAACCCCAUCUCUACUAAAAAUACAAAAACUAGCUGGGCGUGGUGGCACGCACCUGUAAUCCCAGCUACUCGGGAAGCUGAGGCAGGAGAAUCGCUUGAACCCAGGAGACAGAGGCUGCAGUGAGCCAAGACUGUGCCACUGAACUCCAACCUGGGUGACAGAGGGAGACUCCAUCUCAAAAAAAAGAAAGUAAAGGACUAAAACAUGGUUAUGACAUAGGUAUAGCAGCCUUUGUGGGCUGUUGGCUGGCUAUAUUUAUGGUUAUUUCUUGAUUAUAUGCUAAAUAUGGAGUUGAUUAUUCAUGAGUUUUCCAGGAAAGGGGCAGAGAUUUCCCAGAGUUGAGGGUUCCUCCUCCUUUCAGACCAUAUAAGGUAACUUCUGGACAUUGAGAUGGCAUUUGUAAACUGUCAUGGCACUGGUGAGAGUGCCUUUAGCAUGCUAAUGCAUUAUAAUUAGCAUAUAAUGAGCAGUGAGGACAAUCAGAGGUUGAUUUUGUUGCCCUCUUGGUUUUGGCAGGUUUUGACUUCUUUACCGCAUCCCAUUUUAUCAGCAGUGUCCUUGUGACAUGUAUCUUGUAAAACAAGUCCUGCCAAAUUUCUAUCUCAUCUCUAUCUUUGUGGGUUUCUGAUUUUUAAAAAAUUCCUUCAUUGUCACGUUAGGGUCUUCAAAAAGAGCAAAAUGAAUUGUGUGCAUUCAAUUCACCAUCUUUACCUAGACGUCUCUGUAAGCUCUUUUUCACUGACUGACUGCACCAUGGACAGCAUGGUAACCUCCGUGACCGGCACAUACACCUCUGGAGGAGUUCCUGGAAAUAGAGAGUCUGAAGUAACUGGAAAACCACAAAAGGGUAGAAUGACCAACACCUGCAGUGCAUAAUUAACUUGAGACAUUCUUCUAUUGUUCCUUAUUCCUGCCUCAACUGACAAGGCAAUUGGACUUUGUAACUCACCUUGGUCAACCUCAUGACUCCAGACCCUGCGACCCUCUCGCAGCUUGCAAAAACUGCCCUAAACUGUAACUUCUGUAACUCUCCACUGCCUACCCCAAACCUAUAAAACCAACUCCUACCCCAUCGCCUUUUGCUGACUCUCUUUUCGGACUCAGCCCUCCCACACGCAGGUGAAUCAACAGCCAUGUUGCUCACACAAAGCCUAUUUGGGGGGGUCUCUUCAUUCAGAGUGCAUGUUUUAAAAGUCUCCAUCUGCAUUCCACCUUUGAACUGAUGGGCUUAUGCCUUUUAAUAAAAUCCUUUUACUGUAAUUUCCAUGGGUUUGGGGGAGUAUAAACUAAUGGAUGGGUUCAACUUGCCAUCUUUAACUGGAAAUAAUUUGUUAUUAAACUGCUCUAGACAUAAAUGUCUAUCUCCCCACUUGUAGCCAGCCCUUACUGUGGUGAGUUUAAGAAGAGUUUUCUGUUUUUGUUUUUGUUUUUUGCCUCAAAAGCCAGCACAAUGGCUGGAUACUAAAGACUUAUAACUGGACCUAUGUUUUCAUAUAUUUAAACUAACUUCCCUUCUCAUUGACAAAUGGAUAUUCAACAAAUAUUUAGUAAGGAUCUACUCUUUGCCAGGUAAUAUCCAGGCCCCAGGCACACAGCAGGGGUCAAAUCUGACUGAGCUCUGCUCACAUGGAACUUGCAUUUGGCUCUGUUAAAAUAUCUUCUAGGAGCUUAUUACUUCUCAAGGCAACCCCAUCCCAUCAGCUCCUGCUGAAAACUGGUUUUCCAUUACUUUCACCCAUUGGUCCAAAUUCCUCCUGGCAGAGGUUCCCUCUUCUGUAAGAUAGACCUCCAGUUAAGUAAAAAUGAUCUGUGAUUCUGUUUUCCUCAUACUUUCCUUCAACCACUCAUACAGUUCCAGCGCCUCCUCCCACAAUGAAUUCACGAAGCACUCAGGACCCUCCCCCAUUCUCUCCCUUCGUCUCUGUGAGUAAGAAAGUGGAAUAAAGUAAAAAAUAAUAUAUUAGUCUUUGUCCCAGGUUCCUGGCACAGAGUUUCAAAAACGCUCAGAAGCUCCUGAAUGAUGGGAAUGUCUUUUGUUAUUCAUAAUGAGCCCUUUUCAGCCACACCUGCGUUUAUGCUAAUGAGAUGACUCACAGCGGAUCCCCUAGACAGGUUCAGAACAGGCUGGUUCUCAGGAAAGCCAACCAAGGGAUUAAAGAGUUGGAACUUUCAGUCCUUCCUCUCUCCCUUCCACCUCCAGGAAAAGAUGGAGAUGGAUUCCGGUCACAUGGCCAAUGAUUAAAUCAAUCAUGCCUACAUAAUGAAACCUCAAUAGAAACUCUGAACAACGAGGCUUGGAAAACUUCCUGGUUGAUAAACAUAUUAAUAUUGGAAUGCUAGAAGGGAGGCACACCCUGAUUCCACCGGGACAGAAGCUUUCGUGCUUGGGGCUGUUCCAGACCUAGCUGCAUGCGCAUCUUCAUCUGGCUGUUCAUUGAUAUCAUUUACAAUA